AUCAGCCUAACAUAAGCUGCUUUAUUUUGAGUGGACGAAGAAGGUAUAAAUAGACUCUGAAUAGUGCAACAAGUAAAUGCUUCAUGUGAAAUGGCUGGCGUUACAUCAUUGCCUGUGAGAGUGAAGUUCUGGAGAGGCACUGGGCUCUUUGGGCCAGUAAUUAUGCUGAGAAAGCUGACAACAUGAAGGAGAAGCCACUUGAAGAUGGAGACAUACAAGGGAUAGGAGGAAACAAGCUAAAGAAGACAAAAGUCUCCAUCAUCCUGUCCGUCUUAUUCAUCAUCCAAUCACCUUCCGACGCCUCGGUUUUAAAGGACC
This is a long non-coding RNA of Girardinichthys multiradiatus, 318 nucleotides long. RefSeq lists it as uncharacterized. The transcript has 3 exons. NCBI's taxonomy places the organism in Eukaryota, Metazoa, Chordata, Actinopteri, Cyprinodontiformes, Goodeidae. The record is from RefSeq and is a predicted model, not a curated record.